Molecule: non-coding RNA, 99 nt
Organism: Acanthosepion pharaonis
Lineage: Eukaryota; Metazoa; Mollusca; Cephalopoda; Sepiida; Sepiidae
Source: the annotation of a GenBank genome assembly
UUGAAACGUCGGUUACCGUACGAUCACUGAAAUUAAGCAACGUCAAGCUUGGUCUGUACCGAGAUGGGUGACAGCUUGGGAAUAUCAGGUGUUGUAAGC